AUCCAGGCACGCCAACUUCACUGAAUUUUGCCUUCAAAUUAAGUUACGAAAUUUUUAUUAAAACGUUUCUUACAUAUCGUUAUAUUGGCUGGGCCGCAAAAAUAUUCGUUUUGGGCCGCGAGUAUGAUAUGCUUGCUUUACAGUAAUGAACAGCUGAUAUCUAACUGUAAAAUUCAUAAACUCAGCCAAAUCUUACAUACAAUUCUUGUAUCAAAUUAUCGGAGAUCUUUCCUUUUUUCAAGAAUUCAUAACAGAUGACUGAAAAAAGUCAUAAAAGCAGGAUAAACUAACAUACUUUUUCUGCAGUACACCACAAUACAUGGACCCUGAAACAGUGGGGGGACAGGACACAUCAUGACAGCUGAUUGGUGAAGCCUUGGUGUUUUGGUGUGUGAAAUAUUGUCAAGGGCUAUGCCUUUUGAAGUAAAAGGAGAAAACAACCAGCAGACGAUAUUUAAGUGAGUCUCGGAAAUCAAGAGGCAUCUAUUCUACACCAAGUUCUUUUCCCACAUCCGUUACCAUACAAUAUAAAUAUUUCAGUUCUAAACUGCCUUGUUCAUGGAUCUAAUGCAGUAGAGUCCUGAUUAUCAAAUCUAAACAGGAUGGAAGGAUGGUCAGAUAAUUAAAAAUGUCAGAUAAUUCAGAAGACUGAAGAAAAACGACACCAUGUGGGAUGAUAUCAGGGCAAGGGUAGUACUUCUGCCCUAAUUACUUCUUCUGGAUCACAGCAUCAUUGUCGAUGAUGAUGAAGACCAGUUACCAGGCACUCAGUGUCACAAGGCUGAUCACACUUUCUAGGUCAGCACAAGUAUUUUGCAAAGUUCUAGUAUGUGUUGCAUCAGAAUAGUUUUUGUCUGGUCUUUCUGUUACUUUUAUAGCAGGUGCUGAAACUGAGGGGCAUGUUGCCUUCAUGUUACAUAAUAUUAUAAAUUUUGCUGUUCUGAUUAGGCCUUGGCUGAUAUUUGUGCUCUGUAACUGUGGUAUGGUGCACAGAGUGAGAUUCAACAUUCACACUGCCAUAUUCAUUAACUUGGUUCAUGCAUAUAAACAGCAGGUAUUAGCAAAAUAAUGGUCAUGCAGACAGUGAUAACAGUAACAUAAUGGGUUAUUAACACCUUGAAGUACAGUCUUUUCUAGAAGCUGAGAAUUUGCUCAGCUAGUCAAGAAAUUUGCCAUGUCUAACAUUUUAUAACAUACUAGAACUUUUACAGUGAGUAGGUCAUAGCACUCCGCCCAUUCUGUGUUUGGACAUCCUCUCAUUCCGCAGGGGACAACCUGUGCCAUGGUGGCAUGGGAUCCACUUAACAUGUUGAAAAUGUUUAAACUUACCUUUUAAGAAGGUAGCUGCCCUGUGGGUUGUAAUGCUAUCAUGUGGUAGAAGAUUACAGACAUUUCAGAAGUGCUUACUACCUCCAUCAUCAGGGAGAUUAUGUUUGAGGCAGCAAGUACCUCUGAAAUGUGGGUCAACUUCUGCCAGACUACAUGGCGCAGCAAACCACACGGAACAUAUCUUCAUAUUCAUUGCUGUGAGGACCUGAAAUUAUAUGUUAAUAAAUCUGUGUUGAUAAUGUGGAUUACUGUGAGGUGAGUGAGGUCCGAUGAUAGACACUGAGAUAGGCUGUGUUGAACAUUCAGAGUCAAAUACAACAGAGAUAGCUGUUUAAUUUGUAUAAGCCUAGUCUCUGUUUUACAGUGAAGAUACAAGUUUAUAAUCUUGUUGCCAGAGACAUAACAUUUUUCUUAUCUUAUAAACACUGGAGUAAGGACAUUUCAGUACAUAUGAAUUUGCCUGCUUACGUGCGACUUCUGUAAUAUGUAUCGCAGAGUUUCUCACUUGUGUCACCUCCUCUGGAUGAAAUCCACUAGCAGCACCCAAACGCAGUGAUAAUACAUGGCCUACAUUAGUUUCUGAGUUUGUAUCUGAUAUAUCCAUUACAAAUUAUAAAGUUAAGGAAUGGUGCUUUUUAUUUCUGCCUCACACAAUCAGUGAUAUUUUAUUGCUUAUCCUUAAAAAAUAGACAAGAAAAUAACAAGCUACUUAUUAGAUAAAUAACUAUAGGCUUCGUCCAAAUUUAACCAUUUUUAGGCUCUACCAAAAAGUGUUUUAUGAAAUGGAUUAUAUGUUGGCAAGUGUAAUUUUGCUUGUCUCUCACAAUAUACAGCAAUGAACAAAAUUGUAUGAUGUUAAAAAUAUUACAUUUACAGAUUAAGAUACAUCUCGGUCAUAUUUGCCAACCUUGAAUUUAUUCCCCAAAACAAAAUUCCAUCAUGGCAGGCUGUAUUCAUCAACUGACCUUAGACAAAGUCCACAGCUGCUUGGGUCGUGUCACAGCUCUGGUGGUUAGUUGCCAGGUUCUCAAUGUGGGAGCCUGGGUUGACACUCAAGGAAGUCCAUGUUGGAUUUAUGGUGGGCAAAAUGACACUGGCACACACUCAUCUCAGAACUCUUUGGUUCCCUCGGACACUAGAUUAUUAUUGUCCAUUGCUCUGCAUUAUUUGUGGGCUGUAUUAUCAGGUUUCUGUCAGAUGCAUUUCCAGACAGGCAGUUGCCUCCCUUCAUAAUAAUAACAAUAAUGCAGAAUGUUGCAAUAUUAAAAUUAAAACAUUGCACAUUUAAAAUCAAUAAUUUAAAAUAUUAAAUAGUCUAUGGGUUGUAUAAAAUCUGUUGUUGCCAUGUGUAAUGUAGCUUUGAUGUGUUACUUUAUCAAUGCUAAAAGAAAACUUGGGACCAAAUAUACUUUACAUGGAGAGUUGAAUGUUUAUUAUUA
This is a long non-coding RNA of Zootermopsis nevadensis, 2768 nucleotides long. RefSeq lists it as uncharacterized. The record is from RefSeq and is a predicted model, not a curated record. NCBI's taxonomy places the organism in Eukaryota, Metazoa, Arthropoda, Insecta, Blattodea, Termopsidae.